RNAcentral lists this ribosomal RNA (492 nucleotides) under uncultured bacterium. RNAcentral's name for it is "partial 16S ribosomal RNA". It matches the Rfam family "Bacterial small subunit ribosomal RNA", at positions 29 to 507 of the family's 1533-position model. The record is from RNAcentral.
AGUGAACGCUGGCGGCAGGCCUAACACAUGCAAGUCGAACGGCAGCACAGUAAGAGCUUGCUCUUACGGGUGGCGAGUGGCGGACGGGUGAGGAAUACAUCGGAAUCUACUUUUUCGUGGGGGAUAACGUAGGGAAACUUACGCUAAUACCGCAUACGACCUACGGGCGAAAGCAGGGGAUCUUCGGACCUUGCGCGAUUGAAUGAGCCGAUGUCGGAUUAGCUAGUUGGCGGGGUAAAGGCCCACCAAGGCGACGAUCCGUAGCUGGUCUGAGAGGAUGAUCAGCCACACUGGAACUGAGACACGGUCCAGACUCCUACGGGAGGCAGCAGUGGGGAAUAUUGGACAAUGGGCGCAAGCCUGAUCCAGCCAUACCGCGUGGGUGAAGAAGGCCUUCGGGUUGUAAAGCCCUUUUGUUGGGAAAGAAAAGCAGCAGGUUAAUACCCCGCUGUUCUGACGGUACCCAAAGAAUAAGCACCGGCUAACUUCGUG